Long non-coding RNA from Vespa velutina, 1991 nucleotides. RefSeq lists it as uncharacterized. The transcript has 3 exons. The record is from RefSeq and is a predicted model, not a curated record. Lineage: Eukaryota; Metazoa; Arthropoda; Insecta; Hymenoptera; Vespidae.
AAGAGGAUGGAGGAUGGAGGAUGGAGGAGGAGGAGGAAGAGGAGGAGGAGGAGGAGAAGACGAAGAAGAGAGGAUGACGAGAGGGAAAUAUCGAGAGGAGGCAGCACGAAUCUCAUGGGUUGGUUUCUUAACGAAGAAUUCGGCGGGGCUUUGCUCUAAGCAGGUGCCGAGAUCAAAGAAGUUGUUGCUCAAUCGAUUCAAGUAGUUCUGAAUCGAUCUAAUCACCUACCACCUCUCGUUCGGGAAUGAAAAAUCAAUCUCUCAGCCUUUUAAAAGAGAAAGAUGAACUAGUAGAAAAUCUUUAGUAUUUAAUACAUCGGGGACUUUACAUCGACGACGAAUAAUAAUAAGAGGAAGAAGAUAGUACUGGUUCACGAAGAAAAACUGUAUACAUUUAUCAACGACGAUAAUGGACAGGACCUAAGGGAUUCCAAGUACGAAGUGACGUAUUAAAUGUAAAAUCCAUGAAGCUCGAGAAAGAGAGAAAAAGGAGGAGAUAAAGGAGGAAAAAGAAGAAAAAGAAGAAGAAUAAAAGGAAGAAAAAGAGAGGAUAGAAACUUUCCUUUUUUAUUUUCUCGAACGAAGAGAUUAUUUUCUUGGGGAUUUAACGUGACUAUACGAGAAGAAGCCCUAGCUACGAACGUUACAUUUAGUUAUCAAUAACGUAUGCGUCGUAGCUUAUUAGGUUUUCUUCGCACGAUGUAACGUUUGUCAAUGUGCGUGGUAGGUAUCUACAAAACAUAUAUACAUACAUACAUACAUACAUAAAUAUAUACGUAGAUACAUACAUAGAUACAUACAUACAUAAAUACGAGUGAAGCUUUCUCCGUUGGUAACAAUAACAUCGUAGAAAUUUACAGGCCGUUGUUUAUUAAGCCCAUUCAAUCGCGAACGUUCGAACGAACGACGUGCUCGAUUAUGAAAAAUGAUCUAUCGUUAUACGAUCAACCCGAGAGAUAUCAGACCUUUCUAUCAGACGAAUGGUAAAACGGGCACAAAUGGUGGGUACCGUGUAAGUAUGCAUGUAUGCAUGUAUGUAUACAUGUAUGUAUGUAUGUAUGUAUGUAUGUAUGUAUGUAUAUAACAUGUUACAAUUUUCAAUUGCUAACAAAUGAAUAAAGAAUGAGAUGUACGCGACGAGAAUCUCUCACUCGAUUAUUAUUCUCGUUCUCUUUUAAUUGUCAGUAAUCUCUGAGGCAUCGACAACGAGUUAAUGACAUUCUUUUCCAUCCAUCCUGUCAAUAAAAAUGCCUUACCCAUUUUCCGCACAUCAUUGUUUUUCUCUUAUCUGUCUCACUGUAUCGUCUCUUUCAUUUUAUUUCGUUUCGCGUUUCGAAUCGCGAAGCAACGAUCAUUUUUCUUUUUUUUUUUUUUUUUUUUUUUUUUAUUAUUAUUAUUACUAUUACUAUUAUUAUUAUCUCGAUCGUUAAGACGAAGUGUACAUUUUAAUCUGGAAUAAUUGGCAAGUCGAGUAAAGAAAAAAUAGAAAAGAACAAAAAGAAAAGUAAGGAAAAAAAAAAAAUAAAAAAAGAUAGAAAAGAACGAAACAAAAAAUAAAAUUAAAAAAAUAAAUAAAAGGAUAAGUACGAAGAAAAACUUGACGAGUACCUUGAAGUCGAUUAAGGGAGUCUAAAUCGUAGGAUCGAGCGAUACCUAAAAGGCAUGAAAAGAUCGUCCAGGAAAGACCCUUUCCUCUGCGAACCGAACGGAUGUCCGAUGAAUGCACCGUAAAUCGAGAGAGAGAGAGAGAGAGACUGAUCGAUCGGCCAUGCGUAUCGAUUAGUAUCGAUACCCAUCGACUCGGCAGCUUCUCUCGCUUCCAGUCGAGCAUACACAAUAGACAGGGCUAAUGACUACCGGAGACAAGGGGUGACAUCGUCCAAAACUCCCCAUCUGUUUCAGCCACCAAAUCUUCCCAUGAUCAUAACGCGCGUUACCUAAUCGAUUAUAAGUUUCCGACUGCGAAAAAAAAAAAAAAGAAAAAAAAAUAA